AGCCCGUCAAGCCCUGCUUGGUAUUGGGCGCCGCCCCUCGUGGGCGGGCCCCAAAUGCAUCCGGUAGGCCGCGGCCCCUCUAGUGCACCAGAAGUCAGCUUCACGCGCGAGGAGGAGGGACGGCCGUCCGAGAAAGCCCUACU
Molecule: unclassified non-coding RNA, 143 nt
Filed under: uncultured Dothideomycetes
Lineage: Eukaryota; Fungi; Ascomycota; Dothideomycetes
Description: sequence contains ITS2
Source: RNAcentral